RNAcentral lists this ribosomal RNA (253 nucleotides) under uncultured bacterium. RNAcentral's name for it is "partial 16S ribosomal RNA". It matches the Rfam family "Bacterial small subunit ribosomal RNA", at positions 524 to 776 of the family's 1533-position model. The record is from RNAcentral.
UACGGAGGGUGCAAGCGUUGUUCGGAUUGAUUGGGCGUAAAGCGCACGUAGGCGGGUUCAUAAGUCGGAUGUGAAAGCCCUGGGCUUAACCUGGGAUGUGCAUCCGAAACUGUGAAUCUUGAAUAACCGAGAGGUUGGCGGAAUUCCUGGUGUAGGAGUGAAAUCCGUAGAUAUCAGGAGGAACACCGGAGGCGAAGGCGGCCAACUGGAGGAUUAUUGACGCUGAGGUGCGAAAGCGUGGGGAGCAAACAGG